GGUAGAAGAAGAAGAAGAAGAUGUGUGUGUGUGGACCAUACAGCUGCUUGGAAUGUAAAGUGCGAAUUGAGGUUUCCAGUUUGGUCGAGUAUAUAAUUCGGGUCUGUUGUGCUCAUCCUGGUCGUCACUAACCACGGCCCCAGACUUCGCCCAUGUACAGAUCAGCAAGCCGUGAACUGGGUCUUUGAUGUCCCAUUCGUGUGGAGAUGACCUUCAGCUCGUGGAUCUCGGAGUGAGAGCAUUUCAUGACAAAUUGUCAUUGUGAGUGUCACCUUGCCUAUCCGCGCAGGAACUUCCAUAAAUCCACUCUAGCUUUCUUUCACGUCGUCGUCGAGGCUGCCGACAUCACAUGAGCUUGUCUCGAUUAGCAAAAGGUACACGGUACACUGAUUACAAUUCUUCUGGCUUAGCGUACUUCCUUCUGUAAUCGGGAGCCCUAAUUCGCAUAAUUCGGAUAGCGAGGGUCAAUCGGCUCUGGCAGGAGGUAGUCGUUAUAAAUUCGCGCAAGGUACACCACCCUUUUCUCGUUCCGAAAGGCGUCGUCCAGUACCUACAACGAAGAGGCAGUACUGCCGGUUGGUUAUACGUGGAGUUGGCCGUGGAUCUGGUACCAGUAGACAUGCGCGCACUUCCACAGACCGCACUUCCUCAGUUCCGGUACGUGACUCUGUCCUGUACGCUUGCUACCGUCCGCCAGUUGGUCCUGAUAUUUCGCGAAUGUUCCGGUCACCAUACACGGCAUGCUUAGUGCGGCACAUAACUGAUCAUCGGCUCAAUAUGCUGUUCCACUAGAGAGGACUCCCAAAACUACAGCGGUGUUCACGUCCAUAUGAUCUUGUCCGAUGCUUGUUGGAACCUCAGUGUCAGCGACACCCUUUAGUGUGCACAUUUUGCACUGCAGUGUUAAUUCACUGCGCAGUCCUUUUCUGCGUUCAGAAACGACUUCCAUGUCCGCAAGUGCACAACUGAAUGCGUGAUAGAUUCCGAGCGCCUUGAAGCUACUGAUCCGCAUGUGAGCAUCAAGGUGUUGUAAUCUUUGCUUCAUCGUGCGAGCAACUACACAUGUAUAACUUUCUGAGGUACCACUAGGGUAUUACUGUCAUCAUAUGCUCACGUUCAUCAGUGUCCGCCCUGACGCCCUCAUUGUGUAACGGUGUGAGGAAGACGGCACUGUGGGUUUGCCGUGCCGCCGGUUUUUGACGCUUCUGCCAUCCCAGUGCUCGCUCAUGACGUCGUAACGCUGAUAUUCAUUUCGCAAUCUGAGGGAGCCAACAUUUCUAUCAAUUUAUUUACCGUACUUCGACCUGGGUCCCAAGUGCUCCGAUUCCAUUUCAGCUUCCAUUCUGAUUCAACUUCGAUCCUGAAUAACUUUUCUCAGCCGAAGCAUAUAUGCACACUUGCCCAUCAAAAUUGUCCGCUGUACCUUAUCGUACACUAAACGUUAUGGACGUGUCUGAAAUCUGCCCCAACCAGCUCCAUCCGCCACCCGAAAUUCCAAAUCCUUAGGGUCUAGGGGACCGCACUUGAUCCGCGCUCCUAACCACGUCAUGGGACGAGGGGAUACCCAGUGCGGUUCAAAUAACUAUUGUAAUUUUGUCCCAUGAAACAAUAGACCCCCCUUCCCGUUGACAUCCUACUGGAUGAGUGCUAAAAGCGCUGCCAGGUUUCCGGCAUCCACUGUAAAAGAAAAGAUUUCACUGUAUAACCUAUCCAGCGCCACUAUUUUUUUUACAAGCAUGAUCCUUCCACAUUUCUGUGGCUGCGACUGGGAAUUCCAAGACAAAUAAGUUUCAUCUACUGUUCCCCGAGAAAAUGAGCAUCAUUGAACAAACAAUAAACAAAAUUUGGGGCUGGGCUACGCUGCCCGUGCCCGUGCUCCCGCGUCAUGGUCAACGUCGGCGUCGUCGUCUUCCGCCCAUGUGCAGCGGUAUAUCAUUUCCAGCGGUCAAAUUGUUGUUGCUUGUGACGACACACUCGAUGAUAGAUGGCAGCACUGCGCUUCCCAUUCUGAAGGGACGUACUCCACUGAUGACCAUACCUGACAAGAACUCCUGUGCCGAGUCAACGGCUUAACAUAGAUGAAAUCUUUUUGUUGGUAUUGGUUCUUUAUAUGUUUUUCUAGUGCGUGAUCGAGCCAGAUUUUCGAUUUUGGGCGGCUCUAUUUUGUAAGCGAGCGGAAUCUCGAAAUAUAGCUUUUCCCAAACCUUUUGACGACGAUAUAAAAAUUUCUGAGUCUAAAACGCAAAAUCUGCUUCGAUCAGGCACUAGAUCUAAGCAUCCUCUCCCAUUUAAAAGCAGUUGCACGGAGAUCAACCAAAUUUUCGCGGCACUACGAGUUGAAAAAUGUAUGGGGAUUCCCAUAGAGCGUCGGUGGUGAUGCACCGCCUUAAAGCGCGGUGAACUGUCGGAUCAACUGAGAACGAAGAUAGUAAGGUAGCUGCACAUGGACAUCUGCCGCCACUCUCUGUAAGUGGCUGGCCCUUCGUUAAAACAUAAUGAGCCUCAUGCAGACAAGGCACAACUUCCACAUUUUGACACUGUAUUUGCAUAAAUUAGUUUAAAUGGUUAAUGCAAUAAUUUUAUAGCAUGUUUGCGGUGUGACCACCCUUUCCCCCAGAUACCCUGGAAAAAGAAAUUUGUUAUAUGAGGCGGCACGACUGCUAGUGUAUCUCUAUCCAGCGCUGCGUGACGUCAAAGGCACAGGAUUUAACAGGACACAGGAUCAACGGAAGUCGCCGAGUGAUAUUCAGAUGGUGCAGGCACAGCGGGAAAAAUAUGGAAAGAGAAAGAGACAGGAGGAGGAGGGCCAAAGGACUUCAGCCACAAGCAGCUGCAUCCGUCCAACGGUUCCGUCGGAAGACCAGUUGGAAGACAGUGACGCGUUAGCUGCCCACUGCCUCUUCAUGGUCAGAGAAAUGCGAAGGAGCCCUGAGGAGAGGCGCCGGGAUCGUAUCACAGAUGCAAUGUCCAGAACACAUGCUGCGAGACGCCGCUUGAUCGAGUAGAAGGAUAGUGAUGAACGACAGUGCCUCACCGUUGCUGAUGUGCUUUCUGAGUACCCUGCUUUGGCGCUAGAAACAGAGGACCCUUUGGCUGCUGACCCUGCACACCCCUGCGCAGAAGUCUCUGCUGCUUUGUGGGCACCUUCCUCAAUCAUGGUUCGGCUCGAGAGCUUUUCGGUGAAUGUUACAAACCUCAAUGCAGCGGUGGCACUUGUGCUGUCGCUGUAUUGGGUUUAUAACAUGCAUUACUCCUGGCGAUUGAGGAAGGUGUUCACAUUUCUUGAAAAUGUCCUUGGGCUGGCACAAGAGUCCACGGCAUCACUCGCGUGGUAACCAAGCUAGAAAAUGAAAGCGGCUUUAAGGAUACCAAAUAAACCUUCUCCACGUUCUGUGCUAAAUGGAAGCCGUUACGAAUGCCAUAUAACUGCCCCAAUUUCCAUUGCAUGAAUUGACUUGAACACGCCUGCCUUCCAUGAGCUGGUAGCUCCUGUCGGGAAGGUAUACUCGAUAUCCUGUGCGAAAGUAAGAAUCACCCCUUUUCCAGAGGGUGAGAGAGGAGUUUCACUGAUGCCUGCAGAGGGCAUUGGAAUUGCUCCAUGUUAGGGUUUGUCUUGACUCCACUGAUAGGUAUUUACUCCCAGCGUAUCUGUCACUGUGGGUUGUAUCAAAUUUCCUUGCAUGGCAUGACCGUAACAUCCCCAUAGGGCAUUUUAUCAACUCCUCUAGUGGGCAUUACUGCUAUUCCAUUUCACAGCAUUAAUGGGGAUCCAUAGGGUAGUGUCACUGCUGCUCCCACAGCAGAGGCAGUGUGCAUACCUUACCCGGUAUGAAGGGAACUCCAUUUGAACCAUACCGAAGGAGGUCGUCAGGACAACAUCUGCAGGUGCUGGCAGCUACUUCAGUGGGUGUCACGGUUACACCACACAAAUGUAGUAGCAUGUUACUCCCCUUAGGGGGUGUAUCUUUUGCUCCAAAAUGGAGUGUUCCUUGGGACAAGCCAUUUACUCCAUUAAGGGAGUCGUGACCCCCCCCCUUUUUUUGUAGUAGAAUUACGAUCGUAAACAAAACAAAACAAAAAACUUCACAACAAUGGCAUGGCGUGAGUGUGUACGAACAGGUUAUUCCUAACUUCAAUGUAGAAAAAUUAUAUGUUGUCCGACUCGUGCACAUAUACGAAAUCAUCUACCACCCGAGUACGUUUCCGUAUCCCGCUCCCCUGCGCAUGCGUCACAGUGGGCUUGUUUAUCCGUGCAUCUCUGUAUCCGGGCCGUGUGCCCGUGCAUUGUAUGACGGAGUUCGCACACUUUUCGGGUUAAACAGGAAGCGACGUUCACAUCUCGGAGCUGUAGACCAAGAUUAACACCUGUGAACACAUGAAUACAAUGCAUCCCCCCCCCCCUUGUUGCUGGCCUCGCGAAAAAAAAAUCGUCAUGGCACGACCGGCCAUCAUAGCGUGAGUGCUAGCAGAUAUCAGCUCUGCACCAACAAUGUCAUGUCUUUUUCUCUUCUUUUUUGCAAUGAACCCAUAAUGGCCACUCAUUAAAGAAAUGGAAACCUCUAAUCACUACGUGUACAUAUAUAGCUCUAGGUGAGAAGUGGGCCUUAAGUGAACCUUCCUAAUUUUCGUGUGGUCAUCAAGAUGCCCUUCUGUUAGGAGUUGCCAAA
This is a long non-coding RNA of Ornithodoros turicata, 4667 nucleotides long. RefSeq lists it as uncharacterized. The record is from RefSeq and is a predicted model, not a curated record. Lineage: Eukaryota; Metazoa; Arthropoda; Arachnida; Ixodida; Argasidae. The transcript has 4 exons.